CCUUCGAUAGCCUCAGUUGGUAGAGCGGAGGACUGUAGAUCCUUAGGUCGCUGGUUCAAAUCCGGCUCGAAGGA
Entelurus aequoreus (snake pipefish) is the source of this 74-nucleotide non-coding RNA. The record is from the annotation of a RefSeq genome assembly. Lineage: Eukaryota; Metazoa; Chordata; Actinopteri; Syngnathiformes; Syngnathidae.